RNAcentral lists this long non-coding RNA (201 nucleotides) under Prunus persica (peach). RNAcentral's name for it is "long non-coding RNA (PPER_LNC003407)". Lineage: Eukaryota; Viridiplantae; Streptophyta; Magnoliopsida; Rosales; Rosaceae. The record is from RNAcentral.
UAUAGUUCUAGAGAUUGGAUUUUACUCCAAACCUACCAAAUGACUCUUCCCACAAUAUUAUGAUAUUCCCCAAGUGUUGGACUCAAUCCGAUAUUGAUUGGUCCAUGAGAUCAGCCAAUUCAGGUUGUGUGAACUGUGUUCUGAAAUAGGGUGGUUGGUGUAUUAUAUAGUUUUAGCCAUUGGAUUUCUUUCAAAACCCAC